UCCGGUUUGUCACCGGCAGUCCCAUUAGAGUGCUCAACUUAAUGUAGCAACUAAUGGCAAGGGUUGCGCUCGUUGCGGGACUUAACCCAACAUCUCACGACACGAGCUGACGACAGCCAUGCAGCACCUGUGUGACCAUUCUCUUGCGAGCACACUUCCAUCUCUGAAAGCUCUGAUCCAUGUCAAGGGUAGGUAAGGUUUUUCGCGUUGCAUCGAAUUAAUCCACAUCAUCCACCGCUUGUGCGGGUCCCCGUCAAUUCCUUUGAGUUUUAAUCUUGCGACCGUACUCCCCAGGCGGGAUGCUUAAUGCGUUAGCUGCGCCACUGAAGAGCAAGCUCCCCAACGGCUAGCAUCCAUCGUUUACAGCGUGGACUAC
Molecule: unclassified non-coding RNA, 376 nt
Filed under: uncultured Pseudomonadota bacterium
Lineage: Bacteria; Pseudomonadati; Pseudomonadota
Description: uncultured proteobacterium contains 16S-23S intergenic spacer region
Source: RNAcentral